Molecule: ribosomal RNA, 384 nt
Filed under: uncultured bacterium
Lineage: Bacteria
Description: bacterial SSU rRNA
Rfam family: Bacterial small subunit ribosomal RNA
Source: RNAcentral
AAUCAACGCUGGCGGCGUGCCUAACACAUGCAAGUCGAGCGGGAAAGGGGGCUUCGGCCCCUGAGUAUAGCGGCGGACGGGUGAGUAACACGUGGGUAAUUUGCCCUUGGGUGUGGAAUAACUCAGGGAAACUUGAGCUAAUACCGCAUGACAUCCCCUUCACACACGAGUCGGGGAUCAAAGCCGGGGACCCUUCGGGGCCUGGCGCCUGAGGAGAAGCCCGCGCCCGAUUAGCUAGUUGGGAGGUAAUGGCUCACCAAGGCUUCGAUCGGUAGCCGGCCUGAGAGGGCGGACGGCCACACUGGGACUGAGACACGGCCCAGACUCCUACGGGAGGCAGCAGUGGGGAAUUUUGUCAAUGGGGGAAACCCUGAACAAGCAACG